RNAcentral lists this ribosomal RNA (116 nucleotides) under Armatimonadota bacterium. Lineage: Bacteria; Bacillati; Armatimonadota. The record is from RNAcentral.
CCUGGUGACCAUACCGGUGGGGGUCCACCCGUUCCCAUUCCGAACACGGUAGUUAAGCCCACCAGGGCCGACGAUACUUGGGCGCAAGGCCCCGGGAAAAUAGGUCGUCGCCAGGU